This 254-nucleotide ribosomal RNA is filed under the name uncultured bacterium. RNAcentral describes it as "partial 16S ribosomal RNA". It matches the Rfam family "Bacterial small subunit ribosomal RNA", at positions 524 to 776 of the family's 1533-position model. The record is from RNAcentral.
UACGUAGGGGGGCAAGCGUUGUCCGGAAUCAUUGGGCGUAAAGAGCGUGUAGGCGGUCCGGUAAGUCCGCUGUGAAAGUCGGGGGCUCAACCCUCGAAUGCCGGUGGAUACUGUCGGGCUAGAGUGCGGAAGAGGCGAGUGGAAUUCCUGGUGUAGCGGUGAAAUGCGCAGAUAUCAGGAGGAACACCGGUGGCGAAGGCGGGUCUCUGGGCCGAUACUGACGCUGAGGAGCGAAAGCGUGGGGAGCGAACAGG